CACAAAGAGGGCGAGCGUUAAUCAUAAUGGUUUAAAGGAUCCGUAGAAUGAAUUAUAAAAUAUAAUUUAGAGUUAAAAAAUUUAAUUAAAGAAUUAUAAUAGUAAAGAUGAAAUAAUAAUAAUAAUUAUAAGACUAAUAUAUGUGAAAAUAUUAAUUAAAUAUUAACUGACAUUGAGGGAUUAAAACUAGAGUAGCGAAACGGAUUCGAUACCCGUGUAGUUCUAGUAGUAAACUAUGAAUACAAUUAUUUAUAAUAUAUAUUAUAUAUAAAUAAUAAAUGAAAAUGAAAGUAUUCCACCUGAAGAGUACGUUAGCAAUAAUGAAACUCAAAACAAUAGACGGUUACAGACUUAAGCAGUGGAGCAU
Molecule: ribosomal RNA, 367 nt
Filed under: Saccharomyces mikatae
Lineage: Eukaryota; Fungi; Ascomycota; Saccharomycetes; Saccharomycetales; Saccharomycetaceae
Description: partial small subunit ribosomal RNA
Rfam family: Bacterial small subunit ribosomal RNA
Source: RNAcentral